GCCCCCGUAACUCAAUUGGAUAGAGUAGCUCCGUCCUAAGGAGAAAGUUGCGAGUUCAACUCCCGCCGGGGGCA
This 74-nucleotide transfer RNA is filed under the name Elusimicrobiaceae bacterium. Its description in RNAcentral is "tRNA-Arg". It matches the Rfam family "tRNA". Rfam says of the family: Transfer RNA (tRNA) molecules are approximately 80 nucleotides in length. Lineage: Bacteria; Pseudomonadati; Elusimicrobiota; Elusimicrobia; Elusimicrobiales; Elusimicrobiaceae. The record is from RNAcentral.